AGGAUGAACGCUGGCGGCGUGCUUAACACAUGCAAGUCGAACGAACCUUCGGGUUAGUGGCGGACGGGUGAGUAACGCGUGAGAAUCUGCCCUCAGGAGGGGGAUAACGGUUGGAAACGGCCGCUAAUACCCCAUAUGCCGAGAGGUGAAAUGAAUUUCGCCUGAGGAUGAGCCCGCGUCUGAUUAGCUAGUUGGUGAGGUAAGAGCUCACCAAGGCAUCGAUCAGUAGCUGGUCUGAGAGGAUGAUCAGCCACACUGGGACUGAGACACGGCCCAGACUCCUACGGGAGGCAGCAGUGGGGAAUUUUCCGCAAUGGGCGAAAGCCUGACGGAGCAACGCCGCGUGAGGGAUGAAGGCCUCUGGGCUGUAAACCUCUUUUAUCAAGGAAGAAGAUCUGACGGUACUUGAUGAAUAAGCCACGGCUAAUUCCGUGCCAGCAGCCGCGGUAAUACGGGAGUGGCAAGCGUUAUCCGGAAUUAUUGGGCGUAAAGCGUCCGCAGGCGGCCCUACAAGUCUGCUGUUAAAAAGUGGAGCUUAACUCCAUCAUGGCAGUGGAAACUGUUGGGCUUGAGUGUGGUAGGGGCAGAGGGAAUUCCCGGUGUAGCGGUGAAAUGCGUAGAUAUCGGGAAGAACACCAGUGGCGAAGGCGCUCUGCUGGGCCAUCACUGACGCUCAUGGACGAAAGCCAGGGGAGCGAAAGGGAUUAGAUACCCCUGUAGUCCUGGCCGUAAACGAUGAACACUAGGUGUCGGGGGAAUCGACCCCUCCGGUGUCGUAGCCAACGCGUUAAGUGUUCCGCCUGGGGAGUACGCACGCAAGUGUGAAACUCAAAGGAAUUGACGGGGGCCCGCACAAGCGGUGGAGUAUGUGGUUUAAUUCGAUGCAACGCGAAGAACCUUACCAGGGUUUGACAUCCUGCGAAUCUCUUGGAAACUUGAGAGUGCCUUCGGGAGCGCAGUGACAGGUGGUGCAUGGCUGUCGUCAGCUCGUGUCGUGAGAUGUUGGGUUAAGUCCCGCAACGAGCGCAACCCACGUCUUUAGUUGCCAGCAUUUAGUUGGGCACUCUAGAGAGACCGCCGGUGAUAAACCGGAGGAAGGUGUGGAUGACGUCAAGUCAUCAUGCCCCUUACAUCCUGGGCUACACACGUACUACAAUGCUACGGACAAAGGGCAGCAAGUUCGCGAGGACAAGCAAAUCCCAUAAACCGUGGCUCAGUUCAGAUCGUAGGCUGCAACUCGCCUACGUGAAGGAGGAAUCGCUAGUAAUCGCAGGUCAGCAUACUGCGGUGAAUACGUUCCCGGGCCUUGUACACACCGCCCGUCACACCAUGGAAGUUGGCCACGCCCGAAGCCGUUACUCCAACCCUUGUGGAGGAGGACGUCGAAGGUGGGGCUGAUGACUGGGGUGAAGUCGUAACAAGGUAGCCGUACCGGAAGG
RNAcentral lists this ribosomal RNA (1439 nucleotides) under Synechococcus sp. CC9311. RNAcentral's name for it is "bacterial SSU rRNA". It matches the Rfam family "Bacterial small subunit ribosomal RNA". Lineage: Bacteria; Bacillati; Cyanobacteriota; Cyanophyceae; Synechococcales; Synechococcaceae. The record is from RNAcentral.